Molecule: small nuclear RNA, 104 nt
Filed under: Sciurus vulgaris (Eurasian red squirrel)
Lineage: Eukaryota; Metazoa; Chordata; Mammalia; Rodentia; Sciuridae
Source: RNAcentral
AUGCUCCCUUCAGCAGCACAUACACUCAAAUUGGAAUGAUACAGAGCUUAGCAUGGCCCCUGCACAAAGAUGACACACAAAUUCAUGAUGUAUUUCAUAUUUUU